CUGAGAAGAUAUUGUUCUUGACAUAUGAGGAAAUGAAGCAAGACACAGCUGCUCAUGUUAAGAAAUUAGCUGAGUUCAUGGGUUGUUCUUUCACCUUAGAGGAAGAGGAGGGAGGGGAGGUGCAAAAGAUAAUAAGCAUGUGUAGUUUUGAGAAGUUGAGCAGCUUGGAGGUCAAUAAAAAUGGGAAGCACCGUCCGGACACAUCACUUGCUAUUCAAAACAGUGUAUACUUCAGGAGAGGUGAGAUAGGCGACUGGGCAAAUCACUUGACACCUGAAAUGGGAGCACGUCUAGAUGACAUAAUGGAGCAGAAACUCAAGGGUUCAGGCUUGAAGCUGCCCAGGUGACUGUGCCUAGGGUCCCAUUUGCUUAUGAUUAUUGCCCAAGCGGGUUCAUCAAAAGCUGUUAUCAACAUCUCGUGAAACAGAAACUGUGUAUCCCAAUAAAUACCCUCUUUGUUCAUCUCUUGUAUUUCCUAUCAAGUAUUCACAUUUUGUGAAUCAUCCAUGUCAAUAAGCAAUGUUCUUUUGUGAAUCUGUGUUUGUGACUUUCAUUGAUUUCCUUGCAUGCUUGUAAGAAUUCAAAAUGGGAUUCGUUUUUUUAUUUAUUUAUUUAACACAAGUGCAUGCAUUCCAUUAAUCAGUUGGAUAAAAAAUAAAUUUACUCUAAUAUAUAAUAUUAGAGUGUUUUCUUCACAGAAAUUGCAGUGUGUUUUCUUCACAGUUAUACAUGUUUUAAAAGAACCGAGACAACCCAUACAUGAGGGCGGAGCAAAGACCAACCGAGACAACCAUCCAUUAAGAUUGUUGAAUUGCAGAUCAAAUGAACGUAGGCGGCACAUCUGCUGGAAGGAUCUCGAAAUGCCUUGUAAUUGGUUAAAAUAAAGAUCAAGAUCUGUAGGAGAACUCGUGUUUUCCACUCCUAAAAUAAGCCCAGUUGCCGGCUUCAUGUGCAACAGAGGCACAUAGAGAAUCUGAAAGCAGUUUUUAUGCACUAUCAGCAGAAUAAUUUGAUCAGUCAGAAUGAAAACCCCCCCCCCCAGGCUCACAAAUCUUCUUACUUCAAACAAAUCUUUUGGAACCGAUAUAUAUGUCGAGUGAUGGCUUGAUUUAUACCGGAGAUUGUGUUGGAAAAUUAAAGAAGCAUGGCUUAAUUUGUACCUUGGAUGCGCAAAUUGAUUACAGGGAAAAAAUGACAGAAAGUGAGUUGCAGGGAAUGAAAAAGGCAUUAGUAAACUCAACACCUUUCAGGGUAUCGUUCCUUGGUUUGCUCCCUUUUAUUUCUUAUUUUGUUUUUCCUGCCAUUGUCUAAUGUUUUUCUAACUCGCAGUCUGGUCUCUGCAGAGAAUGAGAAAGCACAAACUCUUUAAGAGAAGAUAUUCUCCGGCAAUGGCAUCAAACAGAAAAGUCCGACGUCAACUAAGUGAGUGUAUAGCGUUGCUGCUGUGUUUACAGAAAAACACCAUUGUCAUGUGUUUGGUUACGGUCUAAACAUAAUUUUUUAUCGGUGAGACCCAUUACCAUUUGCAUUUAAACCGCAAGAUAACCAGAAGCAACUUUAAGCUGCGUUUUGUUUUGAGUUGCAAAUUGUGUUAUAAAUAGAGGCCACAAGAAAAAGAGCAGAAACAGAGCAGUGAAUAGUGAUUAGUGGAGAGCAACUCCCUCUCACCACUGACCUCCGCCAGCCACUGCUUUUUCUCUUCUCCUUCUCUUCUCGUUCUCCUUCGUCUUCUGCAUUCUCUACUGUUCACGUGAACAAUGGAGAGUGGAGAGCAGCUCACCAUCAACCCCUGCUGUUUCCACCGCCAGCCACUGCUCUUCCUCUUCCCCUUCUCCUUCGUCUUUUACGUUCUCCACUGUUAAUGUGAACAGUGGAGAGCAGCUCACCACCGGCCUUCACUAUUUCCACUGCCAGCCACUGCUCUUCCUCUUCCCCUUCCCCUUCUCCUUCCCCUUCUCCUUCUCAUUCAUCUUCUGCAUUCUCCACUGUUCAUGGCCGGACUGGGCCUAGCCCAAACCUAAAUGUAUUUGACUGGGUCCGACCCAGUAAAAUAAAAAAAAAUCCAAAUUUUUUUUCUUAAAUAUUGUGUUUUAUUUGAAAAACUAGUGUUUAAAAUUAUUCAAUGACACUACAUAAUUAUAUUAGAAGGAGAUCGCACGAUGACGUAGCAUGUGCAGAAUUUGAUUGCAAUCCUAAUUUUUUUCCUAAUGAUAUUUUACAUGAUGUAAUGAUAUCUUACCUGAUGUUGGUGCAAGUUCAGGAAGCCAUGGAAACUGUAGUUCUUGUCGGAUGGAUUUCGUAUAUGAUUGAAUUGCAAAUAGUUUAAUGGAACAAUAAAAAAUACUUUAUAUAAAGUAUUGUUUAUUUCAUGAUGUAAUAGCAGUAGUUAAAUCUAUAAUAUUUCAAUUAAAAACCAUCAAUAUUAAUAUAUGUCUUUUUUAGUUAUUUUAUAACCUCAAUUUGAAAAGUAUUCUUUAACCAAACACAUUAAACUACUUUUUGUUCAACCUCAAUUUCAACCACAGUUUUAACCAAACAUAUAUUUUUCCAAACUAAUCUAAACUAAAAGUAUUUUUUAUAAAAACAAUUUUUUUCAAACCACAACAGCUACCACAAUACCAAACACACACAAAAAAAACUGUACUGAUAAGUAAGUUACAAUGCCACCACUGAUUUAGGAUCUGCUUUAGAUCUUAUAAGGUGAAAGUUGAAAGCUAGCAAGAAUCGUCACAGAGAUGAACAGAGAAGUGAAUAGAAUUAGAGGGAGAUACUGCAAUGCAGAGGAAGAAGAAAAACAUUUCUGUGUAUAUUCACUUAUAUUUUUUUACCAGCGCUGUUACAUUCAUUUUAUAUGAACCAAGAUGAGAAGCUUGUUUACGUAAUCUAAUCAACAGUAACAGACUUUGUUAACUGUCUAACAAUAUUAACAAACUUUCUAACCAUUGUAUUCUCUAUUCUCUUGACAGGUGGCAGAAGCAGAGCCUUUGAUAUCUUGACAUUCCCCCUCAAUCACAAGCGUGAAGGAACCAAGCAUAAGAUUGGAACAGUGACGCCGAAAUAAAGGAGUGGAAAGACCUUUAGUUAGGAUAUUAGCAAAUUGAUCGGUAGAAGAGACAUGUUGAACCAACAAAUCACCUUUGACAACACGUUCUCAAACAAAAUGAUAAUCAAUUUGGAGAUGCUUCAUUCUGGAAUGGAAGACUGGAUUGGAAGCAAGGGAAAUAGUUGAGAUAUUGUCAUAAUGAAUUAACGGAGGGAUAUGUAAAGGAAUGUGAAUGUCACAGAGCAGUUGGCGAAUCCAGGCAAGUUUGGCAGCAGCAAUUGCUAGAGCCCGAUACUCAACCUCAGUAGAUGAUCGAGAAACAAUAUGUUGUUUCUUAGAAGCCCAAGAAAUAGGACUGGAGCCGAGGAAAACAAUAGAGCCAGAGACAGAACGUCGAUCAUUGGGAUCGCCAACCCAGUCAGCAUCACUAUAAGCUUGUCGAUUAAGAAGACUAGGCUGAAAAUGAAGGCCAAAAUCAAGGGUACCUUUAAGAUACCGCAAGAUUCUUUUGACAGCCACAACAUAAGAAUGCAUGGGAUUAUGCAUAAAUUGACAAGCUCGGUUCAUAGAGAAAGCAAUAUCGAGCCUGGUGAACGUGAGAUACUGCAAUGCGCCAACUAUGCUCCGAUAUUGUUGUGGAUGAGAGUAGGCUUAGCCAUCAUCUUUGAGCAAAUGAUGAUGAGGAAGACAAGAAGUAUCAAAUGAUUUGGAAUUUUGUAAAUCAACUCUAGCAAGUAAGUCUGUGAUAUAACUUAUCUAGGACACAAACAAACCAGAAGGGAGAUAAGAGAUUUGCAAUCCCAAAAAAUAAUUCAACUUACCGGUAUCCUUCAUAUCAAAUUUCUGAGUCAAGGCAGCAAUGACUGAAGAAAGAAGAGAAUAAUGACUGCUAGUAAGAAUGAUAUCAUCUAAAUAGAGUAGCAAUAUCACAACACUAAGAGAAGAAUGCUGAACAAACAAAGAGGGAUCGACAAGAGAUGCUUGAAACCCCAAACAUGGUAAAAAAACUGGUAAAACGUUCAUUCCAGGCACGAGGAGCCUGUUUAAGGCCAUACAAGGACUUUCUUAGUCUGCAAACAAAGUUAGCAGGAUAAAGCUUACUCAUAAAACCUUGGGGUUGAGUCAUAUAAACCUCCUCAUGAAGAAUACCAUGCAAAAAGGCAUUGGUAACGUCAAGCUACCGUAAGGACCAGUUAAACUGAGCUGCAAGAGUAAGAAUUAAACGAACCAUAGUAGGUUUUAUGACAGGACUGAAAGUUUCAUUAUAGUCAAUUCCUUCCUCUUGAAUGAAACCCUUAGCCACCAAUCGAGCUUUAUGCCUAGCUAUAGAACCAUCCGCAUGCUUCUUGAGUCGGUAGACCCAUUUACAGCCAACAAGAUUCUUAGCAGGUGGGAGAGGCACCAAAUCCUAAGUACCUUAUGCAUGAAGAGCAUCAAUUUCCUCCCACAUAGCAGACUGCCAUUCUGGAAAGGUUGAAGCAGCCUUGAAGGAACUGGGUUCAACCUGAGAAAAAGCAACAGACUAUACAGAGGUAAAGUAAGCCUUUCUUUUGGAAAUACCAUUCUUAAACCUGAUGGUCAUUGGAUGAAGAUUCAUCGGUGAAAGAGGUAAGACCACACACAGAUUCUCAGGUUGGAAGUCAGGAUCAAAUCUAGUGACAAAGAAGCGAUUGGUUUGAAUAAAAAAACAGAAAUACCCUUUAUACUGACCAGCAUACCCCAGAAAAAUACAAGUGGAAGUUUUGGGCUGAAGUUUGUUAGUAUUAUAAGGCUUGAGUAAAGGAAAACAAGCACAACCAAAAAUCCACAAAUGAGUAAUGACCAGUGGAGAACCAUAUAACAGGAAAUAAGGUGAUUUGAGUUGAAGAAUUUGACAGGGCAUUCUAUUAAUCAAAUAAAUAGAAGUAGCACAAGCACGAAACCAAAAUUUUGGAGGUAAAUGGGCAGUUUGUAACAGAGUGAUGGCUGUUUCUAAAAUAUACCUAUGUUUGCGCUCAGCAAGGCCAUUCUGUUUCGGAGUAUAGGGACAGGACAUUUGAUGGACAAUACCCUUGGUAAAGAGGUAAUGUUUGAAUUUAGUACUAAGAUACUCACCACCCCCAUCACUUUGAAAGACUCGAAGAGUAGCAGAAAAUUGAGCAACUAAAAAGGUAUGAAAGUAGGCAAAAAUGGAAUAAACCUCUCCUUUAUUGAUCAUCAGAAAAAACCAAGUAAAUCGAGUACAUUCAUCAAUGAAACUAACAUAAUAUCUGAAACCUUCAACAGAUACAGUGGGAGAAGAACCCCAAACAUCACUAUGUAUGACCUCUCAAGGUUUAACAAAUUUAACUGCGGGAUAGGGAAAAGGAAGUUUAGCAAGUUUACCCUCUAAAAAAGUGGUACAAACGAAUUUGGAUGUGUUUGAAGUGAAAGAAAUCUGGGAUUGAUUUAACAGAGUAGAGGUGACUAUGUUAGAGGGAUGACCAAAACGCUUGUGCCAGAGACUUGUGUUGACCUGUUUACCAAGAUAGCAAACUUGAUUAUUUUGAAAGAGAGAUUAUGAAGGAAACGAAAUGGAGAAAGGAAUAGGAUAUAACCCAGCUCUACACAGUCCCUUGAGAAGGACAUUUCCCAUGAAUUUGUCCUGAAUCCAAAAACCAAAAUCAUCACAAAUAAAUCGACAGUUGUUAUCUUUACACAACUUAUGAACCGAUAAUAAGUGUUGAGAUAGCUUAGGCACAUGCAAAACUUGCUUUAAUUGUAAUGAGCAUUGAUGAACAUCUAAAAUAAAAGAACCAAUAUUAGAAAUGGUCAAACUUGAACCUCCUGUAGUGGUAACAGUAUCAGAUCCUGAGAAAGGUGUAGCCAGAUUGAGUUGAGCCAAAUCAGAAGUCAUAUGUGUUGUGGUGCCAUUAUCAGCCAGCCAUAAUUGUUCAGGAGGGGAAGAAGAUGGAAAAUUGGCAUGCAUAGCACUAAGAUUACUGGAGGGAGGCCUGCCUUGAUAGCUGAAAUUACCUCUAUGAUAACAUUGAACGGCAGAGUGCCCAAAUUUUCAACAAAUUUGACAUUGAAUGGAAGUGGCAAAAGUACUUAGCAGAGUGUGGCGUUGAUAACAAUUAGCAGCUACAUGACCUUUUUUAGUACAAAUUUGACAUGUAGGAAUGUCAAUGCCAGAACCAAGAAUGCCAGGAUUAGAAGUAGGUGGAACCUAAUAAGGGCGUGGACUAGAUUGAUAAUGAUUACGUCCUCUGCCAUAACCCUUAAAAUUAAACCCCUGAUUGCCAAAGUAUCCUCCAGUAGAACCAUGAAAGCUACUGUGAUGACCAUUAAAUCCUCCAUUGAAACCAGAAGGAAAUUAAGAUGGUGGAGCAGACUUGGAGCUAGAAGGAUGAGAAUUAGAGUUACCUUUAUCAAGAGCAAGAGCCUUGCCAGGAGAUAUUUGAUGUUGAGCCAUCACUGCAGGAACAAACAGGGAAGCAGAAUAAGUUUGCUCAAGAAUGGCUUCUUCAGCUAGCAAUUGAGACCGAAAAUCUUUAAGGGAUAACACGUUGUCUCGGUCGCGAACAAUACACCUAAAGGUGUUAUAAUUAGAAGGAAGACCAUUGAGAGCCAAGAUUACAAUAUCAUCAUCUUCAAAAUAAACCCCUGCUACAGAAAGAUGGUCUCGAGCAUCUUUGAUCUUUUACAGAUAUUGAGACACAGAAUCUGAGCCCUUCUUGAUGGUUUGAAGCUCACUUUUCAUCUGAAAAAUAUGUGCCUUAGUAAUUGUGGAAAAUCUAUUCUUCAGUUGAAUCCACAUGUCAUGAGAGCUAACACAUUCAAUAACAUAGGAGAUUGCAGUUGAUGAGAGAGUAGCAAUAAUCAACUGCAUCAAUGUCCGGUCAUACAUUUUCCAAACCUGAUGAUCAUCAGUUUCAACACAUUCAAGGUCAGCAUCUGCAUCAAACCGAUUUGGACACUUUCUUGAUCCAUCAACAAAUCCUAAAAUACCAUAACUCUCAAGUAGAAUAUGCAUAUGAAAAUUCCAGAUGAGAUAAUUUGUGUCAUCCAGCUUGACUGUUACAGCUGUUGAAACUGUAGGAAGUAAACAGGUAAUAGGAGAUUGAACAAUUUAAAGUUGAGAAGUAGUCACCAUUUUAGAGUUCAAGAGAUAGCGAGGAAGAGAAUCACAUACGAUAGGCAUAGUCCCAGAUUUGAGAAGAGAGUUGAAGAAGAAUUUUUCAGUUUGACAAUAUAUCAAAUAGAUGAUAGGUAGAUCAAUUAUUAUGAAAGAAUUGGUUGAUUAAGGCGAUAAUAAUACCAGAAACAGAGAGUAGCAAGAUAUUAGAAGCAGAGAAAUCACAGGAUCACAAGAUAAUAACAAUCCUAAGCUCUGAUACCAUGAAAGCUAGCAAGAAUCAUCACAAAGAUGAACAGAGAAGUGAAUAGAAUUAGAGGGAGAUACUGCAAUGCAGAGGAAGAAGAAAAACAUUUCUGCAUAUAUUCACUUAUAUUUUUACCAACAUUGUUACAUACAUUCAUUUUAUAUGAACCAAGAUGAGAAGCUUGUUUACGUAAUCUAAUCAACAAUAACAGACUUUGUUAACUAUCUAACAAUAUUAACAAACUUUUUAACCAUUAUAUUCUUUAUUCUCUUGACAGGGCAGAAGCAGAGCCUUUGAUAUCUUGACAAAAGUAAAACACAAGGAAAUGCAUGCAUGCACACCACUAAUCUUUGAUUCUGGCGAGAACAGUGAUGACUACACUCUGAACCAAAUAGAAUUACAUUCCGAGAUGAAGAAAUUAAUAACACAGAGCAGUGCUAUAAAGCUACAUGUGAAACCAGAGAUUAAUAAGCAAUGCUGAAAAUUUUAUCAAGCAUAAGACGAGAGAAGCAUAGGACAUAUUUUUCCCACAAUUGAAUAUGUGAAUUGAGCACAGAUUUCCCUGUUGCAAACUGUUCCUAAUUUCUCAAAUGAUUAACUAGAAUACGAGUUGCACUUAAAAUUUUAAAGCAACAUAUAUGCUCUUGAUUUUUAGUGAAUUGCUGAAACAAACAUACAAGCUCGAUCACACCUCUAGAACAGAGUGACAGUUCAUGGUGACCUCAAAGACUGCAUCAAGUCCUCCAAGCUCUCGUAACUUUUCCCUAAAGCCCCCCCCAGUCUUCCUUAAUUACCAUGCCAGAUGUAUCUGAAUGAAUGCAACCCAUACAGUGAAAUGAAUAAGCAAUCAGAAAAGGAGAGAGAGAGAGUGAAAAAAUUUGUCACAAAACUAGAUAAUGGCGACCACAUAUCAAUAAUUCGAGAUAUGACGUGGGGCACUUUCAUCGUGAUUAUUGUUUGUCCAAUAAUGUUGGAUGUAUUAUUUCUUGUUAAGACUUUUUAGGUUGUGAAAAGUCCAAGAUGUAGUAUAAUAAAAUAAAUAUAACCUUUGAUUUUAUCAUUUAUAUUGAGCUGAAAUUUUGACAUACAAUUCUAAAGAUUUUGUGGUUAAAAUUUCAAGAUCUUAAAAAAAAGACCUUUAAAUAAGGAUUUAAAGUUACUAUGAGAUGGUCUUUAUUUACCUAUUUGGUAUUGUUUUUAUUUAUAUUAGGAAUUUUAAUUUAAUUAGUAUUUUAUUAUUAAAAAAUUCUAAUAAUAGAUUGAUUCUAUUAGUUAGGCAAGUUUUAAAUACAAUUUAUUUUUCUAUACAAAAUUUUAUAUCUAGAACAAAUAUAAAUAAAAAUAUUUAGUUUAUUUUUUGUUCGGGUAUUCAUAUUAUUAUUAAGAUUUUUUAAAAAUAUUUAGAGAUUUUUUUUUAUUUCGCUAUUGUGUUAGGACUAUAACCUUAAGGUUUGGAUGUUUGUGAAAGUGGAAGCGGUUACUUUUUAAAAUGUUUUUCACUUAGAAAUGCAUCAAAAUCAUAUAUAUAUUUUUUAUUUUUUAAAAUUAAUUUUUGACAUCAAAACAAUGCAAAAACACCAAAAAAUUAAUUUGAAAAAAAAUCAAAAAUUUUGAAAACCUCGAUCAAAAUGUUGUACCAAACACCCUCUUAGUUUUAUCUUAUUUUUAAAAAAUAAUUCUUGAUAUUAGCAAACAAAACAAUUUAAUAACACAAAAAAAUUAAUUUUAAAAAAUCAAAAUCUUAAAAAACUCUCGUCUAAAUGUUUGCUUUUAGUUUUAUCAUCGUUGCACUGCGUAAAGAUGCUAAAAAGAAAAUAGUUGAUAUAGCCACCUAAGUGCUGGUGGUGUUUCAGAGUGUAGUAGCGAUUGUUUUUUAAAGUGUUUUUUACUCGGAAAUGCAUUAAAAUAAUAUUUUUUUAUUUUUAAAAAAUUAUUUUUAACAUCAGCAUAUCAAAAUGAUCUGAAAAUACUGAAAAAAAUAUUAAUCUAAAUUAAAUAAAAAAAUAAAAAAAAAUCAAUCUCUUUUAAAAAUAUUUUUAAAAUGCAGAAACAAACAGGAUCUCUCAACCUGCUACAAAUAACUGCUGCAAUGGCCUUUCUUUAAUAUUUUACUUACACCAUUCUGCACAAUAUUUUCUUUUGUACAUCCAUGGAACCCUCUUUGCCUUCUACACAAAUUCAAAGCCCAUGCUAAAAACUACAAGGAAAUGAUCUCUACCUUUCUACAAGUUAAAGGCUUUUGGUACUUUCCGUCCUUCUUGGGAAGACCCAUCUCAGUUCAAGAACACUUCGAGCCUCAAUCCACUGAUAUAUUUGUCGUCAGCUUCCAAAAACGAAGGAAAUCUUUGGUUAAUGUUCUCUAAUAAGUACUAACACCUUUUCUCCUUCAACAGUGAAAUUUACGUGCCUUUCACACCUUUUUACGUUCGAACAUUUCAUUUGUUCUUGUGCUCUAAAUUCUAAAUUGAGUCUGUUUUUGUGAGUUCCAUUCUUCUAUUUAAAAGAUUAGAAAACGCAAGAUUGCAUCAAUGCUAAAUGCAAUUUCAAUAUCUGUGUGUGUGUCAAAUGCAUGGUGAUGUUACAUGAUGUGUUUGUUUUUACGUUUCAAAAAUAUUUUUUUAAAAUUAAAUUUUAUUUAUUUAUUUUUUAUUUUAAAUUAAUAUUUUUUAGUUUUUUCGGAUUAUUUUAAUUUACUGAUAUCAAAAUUAACUUUUUUAAAAUAAAAAAAAUAUUAUUUUAAUACAUUUCUGAGUAAAAAAUACUUUGAAAAGUAACUGCUACUACACUUCCAAAUAUACCCUUAAAAAAACAAAGUUAUGGAGUUGGAGGCUCUAAAUAUUCCUCAAAAUAUCAAGUCUUAAGGGCUCGGAGCUAUUAUCCAGUCUUAAAAUUUUUGCAUUUUAAAAAUAUUUUUAAAAAAAUGAAUAUUUUUUACUUUUUUUUAUUUUAAACUAUAUUUUUUUCUUUCUGUUUUUAUAUUGUUUUUAUGUAAAAAAUAAAUUUUAAAAAAUAUAAAAAUAUUUUUUUAAAAACAAUCACCAUACAAUAACAAAUAAAAUAUUAAUAUGAAAUAAAAUCUAAUUCUACCAGCAGACAGCUGAUAAGAAUACUAAAAAAGUGUAAAUUUUGACUUAAUUCAAUUAUUAGAAUUUGGGGCAGCGUAACAGUGUCAAAGAAAAUGUCAGAAAAGUAGGGCAAACAGUGCAAAUACCUUGGAUGAUGGUGACCAAAUAUUUGUAAUUUGAGACAUCUCGUUCUUGAAAAGAAAUAGUUAAUAGUGCCAAUAAUUUUUUUUUAUUAAUUUGAGGUGUUCAGACCAGUUUGCAUGCACCUCGACUAAUACUUACGGUUCUUGAAGUUAACGAAUAAAUAAGCCUCCAGUGGCCAUCAAUAUUAACAACUACAAGGCUCGAACUUGAGACCACAGGGGGGCAAACCCCUUGAUCCAAAACUCUUACCACUUGACCACCUACUAGAUGGUUAGUACCAAUAAUUAAUUUGCUCUCAACUUGCUACAAAUAGCUGCCAUGAUCACAUAUUCAAGAAACACUAGUUUAAGAGCUUGGGAUCAAGAGGUUUGCUCCCUCUGUAGUCUCAGGUUCAAGCCCUGUGGUUGCUCAUAUGAUGGCCACUGGAGGCUUACAUGGUCGUUAACUUCAGGGCCCGUGGGAUUAGUAGAGGUGCGUGUAAGCUGGCCCGGACACCCACGUUAAACUAAAAAAAAAAAAACACUAGUUUAUAAACCCUGAGGGGUAGCUCAACUGGUUAGAUUUUGAGUAUGUUUCCUAAUAAUCACGAGUUUGAGUUCUUUUAGGCCAACUGGAGGCUUACAUAGUUUUAAACUUCAGGACUCGUGAAAUUAGUAAAGGUACAUACAAAUUCAGUGGUGGAGCCAGAAAUUUUUAAAUGAGGAGGCAAAUUACUAACAAAUAUUUGAUAUUAUAUGCUAUACAUAUAUAUGUUAUAUAUAGAAAUGAAUUUGAAAUACAUGUGCCUCAAGUCAAGCAAAAUUAAUUUAAGAAUACUUUUAAAAUGAAAAAAACUUAUGUUAUAAUUGUUUUCUUCGAGAUUUUAUAUUUUAAAACUGCUUCAUAAUAAUUUUAUUUUUAAUUUCAUUAAAAAUAUAUUUCUCAAUAUAUACAACAAACUUUCAUUUAUCUAUUUCUAAAUCUUCCAAGUACUAGGAAAGUUGUUGACAACAAUUUUAUGCUGACAUAUGGUACAUAACAUCUAAAAUCAUAUCUUAAAAGAAUUGUCAUAAAUUGAAGUUGUUCUUACUGACUUGUUGUUUUGUACAAGUAGAUUAAAUAUAAAUAUUAAAUGUUUUUUUAAAUUUAUCUAUUAUGUCUCUAAUUUUUUUAGUUGUCUUAUACUUCAUUUUUAAUCAUUAGUAAAUUCAUUAUCAUCGUUUUUCAUAUGAAAUUCAUAACAAAACUUAUCAAUUCAUCAAAACUCAUUUCAAUUCAUAUCCAUUAGCAUAUAAUAUUACCCAUACACAUAUUAAUUCAACAAACCCAUAAAUUAUUAUAAACCCUAACAUUUUUAAUAACUAAUUUUUGGAGAUGUAGACCCAGUAUUUUUGGAGCUUCCAUAUCUAGUUGACCUAUCAGGAAGAGAUGAAGUUAACGUUUGGGAAUGCGGUGCAAACCAUGUUCCCCUAAAAUUAAAUUUUUUUUUGUUAAAAAUUAAUUUUUUGGUAUAUUUUGGAUCGUUUUGAUGCGCUGAUCUCAAAAAUAAUUUUUAAAAAAUAAAAAAACAUCAUUUUGAUGCAUUUCGGCACAAAAAAUACUUUGAAAAGCAACUGUAACCACACUCCUAUACAAGUAAAGUCUCUAACAGCACAAGUAUAAAAAAUAUAACUGCUGGGCAAACCAACUCUUUUCUCAAACCCAUCAGUUGCCUCAUGAUAUAUAUAUAUAUAUACACAUAUAUAUAUAUAUAUAUAUAUAUAUAUAUACACACACACACCAUGCAUAGAAUUCAUGGAUAAAAGAAAGGAAUUGGAUCUGAUUUGAGGUGGGGGGAUUGCCCCCUCUUGCCUUUAUGUGGCUCCGCCACUAUAUAAAUUAGUUUGGAUAUUUACAUUAAUUAAAAAAAAAAUACUGGUCUAGAAAAGCGAUCUACAAGGUGAUUAUUUAGUUGACUAAUUGAAUCUGUUUUUUAUAAAAAAAAUAUUUUAGAAGAUAAUUUUUAAUAAUUUUAGAUUUUUUUAUAUAUAAAUAUCAAAAAUAAAAUUAAAAAAAUAACAAAAUAUUAUUUUAAUAUAAUUUUAAAUAAAAAACACAUUUAAAAAAACUUAAUAGUAUACUCUCAACCAAGGUUGUCAAUUCCGUUUCGGUAGGUGUUUCGUUUUUUUAAUUGGAAUGGAAUGUUUCAGUUUCGGAGUGUUUCGGCGUGCCGUUCCGGGGUUGUACUGUUCAUAUAUAUAUAUUCAACAAACAUAAUUCAAAUUCAAGAUAAAUUAAUUAUAAAUUAUGCAAUACAAACACAAUGCCAAACAAAUAUAAUUUCAAAAUUUAAAAUAUUUCUAAAUAGUCAAGAUUAAAUAGAUCUUUACCUUAAAGUAAUUCAACUUAAACAAAAUAUCAAAAUAUUAUGAAAGUAAAAUGUUUUAACAUAAAUAUUUUAAAUAUAAAGUUAGGUCAAUGUUAUCAAGGCUAAUUGAAUCUAAAGCAUCCCUUGGUUUGCUCAAAUUUCUACAAAGUAUAAACAUGAAAAAAAAACAUGAAUAUAAACCUUAUAUAUUAGUGAUAAAUCUAAUUUUAAAAAAUUAAUAUCAUUGUUAAUGAAAAUAGUAAUAAUAAUUUUCAAUAUUAUUAUUAAUAUCAUUGUUAUUGAAAAUAGUAAUGAAAAAGAGCCUUUUAUAAUUGGGUGAUUUAAUUAAUUAAAUUGAACAAAAUUCAAUUUGAUUCAAUGGAUUUUCAAGAACGGAACGAAACAAGUGGAAUGAAACCGGAACGUUCCGGGUGGAAUUUAGCCGAAAAAUACAGAACAGACCGAGAUUUAAAAUAAAAUGAAAUUUAUUUUAUUUUUUAAAUUGGUAUGAAAUAUUUCGUUUAUUUCAUACGAAACAAAACAGAAUUGACAACUUGCUCUCAAGCACCCAAAAUAGAGGAUUCAAUUGUAUUGUGGGUUCCACACCAUUUAAAGCUUGCAAAGAAGGAUUUGAAACACAAUCACACUAAAGAUUUGCAAUGGAAUAUAAUAUAAAAUAAUACCCAAUGGCAUCAGCGGACAUGUAAUCAAUAAUAUUAAAAUACAGUAAAUUUUGAUUUAAUUCAAUUAUUGGAUUCUAGGCAGCGUGACAAUGUCAGAAAAUCUUGGAUGAUGGUGACCAAAUAUAUCAGUAAUUUGAGACAACACGUUCCCGAAAGGUAAUAGCUGAUGGUGCCAAAAAUUAAACCAGCUCUCAACUCGCUACAAAUAGCUGCCAUGGCCUUUCAUUCUACCUUAUAUUUCUUUUUUAACUUUCAUGGAAUCCUCUUUGCCUUCCUCCCAAAUCUUGGAUUCUGAUGGAAAUGCUGAGAGGAAAAAUGAAGCUAAAAAUUACAAUGAAGUGAUGUCCACCCUUCCAAAAGUUAAAGGCUUGAGGGGGGAUGAUUAUUACCUGUACCAAGGCUUUUGGUACGCUCCCUUCUUCUUGGAAAGACUCAUGUCUGUUCAAGAGCACUUCCAUCCUCAAUCCACUGAUAUAUUUGUCGCCAGUUUUCCAAAAACUGGCACAACUUGGCUUAAGGCCCUCACUUUUGCUAUUUUCACACGAUCCCGUUUAAGUGGUUCAACAACUAGUUCUUUACUUUCCAAGAUGCCACAUGACUGUGUUCCUUUUUUGAAUUAUAACCUUGCUCAAAACCCCAGUAAUCGGGACUUGACAAUUCCUCUGCUAUCUACUCAUGUUCCUUACAGUUGUUUACCUAAAUCUAUCAUUUCUUCUUGUUGCAAGAUUAUUUACAUUUGCAGGGACGCAAAGGAUGCUUUUGUUUCUUUGUGGUACUUUCAUGCCACGUUGCAAAGGUCGAAAAAUGUUGAGCCUCUUCCUCUGGAAGAGGCUUUUGAGCUGUUCUGCAAUGGAAUUGCAAAUUUUGGACCCUACUGGAACCAUGUUUUAGGGUACUGGAGAGCAAGCUUGGAGUUCCCCGAGAAGAUACUGUUCUUGACAUAUGAGGAAAUGAAGAAAGACACCGCUGCUCAUGUUAAGAAAUUAGCUGAGUUCAUGGGUUGUUCUUUCACCCUAGAGGAAGAGGAGGAAGGGGAGGUGCAAAAGAUAAUAGGCAUGUGUAGUUUUGAGAAGUUGAGCAACUUGGAGGUGAAUAAAAAUGGGAAGUGCCUUCUAGACAUAUCAAUUCCUAUUCCAAAUAGUAUAUUCUUCAGGAAAGGUGAGAUAGGCGACUGGGCAAAUCACUUGACACCUGAAAUGGGAGCACGUCUAGAUGACAUAAUGGAGCGGAAGCUCAAGGGUUCAGGCUUGAAGCUGCCCAGGUGACUGUGCCUGGGCCCCGUUUGCUUAUUAUUAUUGGCUUAGUGGGUUCGUCAAAAGCUGUUAUCAACAUCUCGUGAAACAGCAACCGUGUAUCCCAAUAAAUACCCUCUCUGUUCAUCUCUUGUAUUUCCUAGCAAGUAUUCACAUUUUGUGAAUCAUCCAUGUCAAUAAGCAAUAUUCUUUUGUGAAUCUGUGUUUGUAACUUUCAUUGAUUUCCUUGCAAGUUUGUAAGAAUUAAAAAUGGGAUUCGUUUUUUAUUUAUUUAUUUAACACAAGUGCAUGCAUUCCAUUAAUCAGUGAUAAAAAAAAAUAAAAUUACUCUACUAUAUAAUAUUAGAGUGUUUUCUUCACAGAAAUUGCAGUGUGUUUUCUUCACACUGCAAUACAUGUUUUAAAAGAACCGAGACAACCAUACAUGAGGGCGGAGCAAAUACCAACCGAGACAACCAUCCAUUAAGAUUGUUGAAUUGAAGAUCAAAUGAACAUAGGCGGCACAUCUGCUGAAAGGAUCUCGAAAUGCCUUGUAAUUGGUUAAAAUAAAGAUCAAGAUCUGUAGGAGAACUCGUGUUUUCCACUCCUAAAAUAAGCCCAGUUGCCGGCUUCAUGUGCAACAGAGGCACAUAGAGAAUCUCCCCCCCCCCCCCUCCAGGCUCAGAUCACAAAUCUUCUUACUUCAAACCAAUCUUUUGGAACCGAUAUAUAUGUCGAGUGAUGGCUUGAUUUAUACCGGAGAUUGUGUUGGAAAAUUAAAGAAGCAUGGCUUAAUUUGUACCUUGGAUGCGCAAAUUGAUUACAGGAAAAUAUCAAAAAAAAAUUUCCUUUCUUUAUAACUUAUGAAGAGUAAAAUAAAAAAAAAGUUAAUAGUAAAACAAAAUAACCCCAAGUGUACAUUAUCAAUGCAAAACUAGAUUUUUCCUUAUUUUAUAUCCCUUUCUUUUGAUAUACUUCUUCUUUUAUGCCCCUUUCUUUUGGUAUAUCUCUUCUUUGUAUCUUUUGGUGUUAAUCACUUUGUUGAAUGCCUCUGUUGAUAUCUUUUAUAACUCACUACAGUGAUUUGAACAUUGAAAAUGUUUCCUUUUAAAAAAAAAAAAUAGAGAAGGCAUUUUGAUUUCAUCUUCAAUUUUUCUGCAUGUCUUCUUCUUUCAAAGUAUUGGGUUUAAAACACAAUCAUGCUCUACAUCAUGCUUUGAGUUUUCCAGGUUAUUUUCAGAAAGAUUUGAUAUAUUUGACCUGAAAGAAAAAAAGGAUGUACAAAGCUUUGCAUUUCUGGAACGUCUUUUCAUCAUGCUCUACAUGAUUCAAUCACAUUGCUCACAUCUACAUGAGUAACCAGAAAAGCAAGUAUUUCAUCGGAUUCUACAUGAUUCGAUCACUUCGCUCACAGCUUUAUGAGUCUCUGGUGAUAUCGUGUUUAAUUAAAUAGAAUAUUUAUUAUAAGAAACAGAUUUAUCAAAUAUAAUUGAGUAUAUGCCUCAUCAUAUCAAAUAUUUUAAUUAGAUGUAACUAUCUAGGUGGUGGUUCAGUGGUAAAAGUUUGGGACCAAGAUGUUUGUUCCCUCUGUGGUCUCAGGUUCGAGCCCUGUGGUUGCUCAUAUGAUGGUCAUUGGAGGCUUACAUGGUCGUUAACUUCAGGGCCCGUGGGAUUAGUCAAGGUGCACGCAAGCUGAUCCGGACAUCCAUGUUAAACUAAAAAAAUAUAUAUAUUUUAAUUAGAUGCGUGUGUACAAGUAUUUUAAUUUAUGAUUAAGAAUUUUUUUAUAUCAAAAAAAAAUUAAAAAGUCUGUAUAUUUAUUUUUCCUUGUUAAAACAAUUAUCUGAAAUAGCCAGUAAUCAACUAACUAUGAAAGAUAAGAUUGAGAAUUGAGAAGUUUAUUUGUCAGCAGACAGUAGCUUCAGUAGAUGGAAAAAGACUCUCUAGAUCACCGGAUCAAUUCCCACCUUCAUGAACUAUUUUUUAUUAGUACAGAAAGCUUCAUAUCAGUCAAAACUCUCUCUCUCUCUCUCUCUCUCUCUCUCUCUCUCUAAAUGGAUCAGAGACUACACAAAUAUAGAGGUGGAGCUUCACAUUAAGCUUCAGAUCAAUUUUCUAUUUUAAAAUCUCAUAAGUUUGGUCCAUUGAUUGCCCUAGAUUGCCCUAGAUUUUCCUGUGUUUUAUAUCCUUUUCUUUUGACAUUUUUUUUAAUCUUUUUCCAGGCCAAAAUCCUAAUUUAAUGUUUGAAAUUGAGAUGAUAAUUAUUUAACUAGAAAAUAUAUUAAAAUAAUAUUUUUUAUUUUUAAAAAUUUAUUUUAAUCAUCACCACAUUAAAACAAUCUAAAAUUAUAUAAAAAAAUUAAAAUAAUAAGAUUUAAAAAUAUUUUUUAAACACAAAAACAAACACAAUCAUCACUCAUAUAUCAUGAGAUUUGCAUUUAGACAUUAAAAUUCAAGAAGAAAUUAAGUUCACCGUACUAUUAAUUCAGUCGAUGAAGGAUUAGUCCCAACUACUUUAGGCCACCAUUAAUUACUUUAUUUAAAUGUAUACUUCUUUAUUAAUUCAGUCGAUGAAGGAUUAGUCCCAACUACUUUGGGCAUUUUAACUCCAUCUUCAAUUACUUUAUUUAAAGGUAUCCUUCUUUCUUAGAUAUUGAAUUUUGAAAACACAAUCAUGCUAAAGAUUUGUCAACGAAUUGUUUUUUAAAAUAAAAAAAUAUUUUAAAAAAUAAUUAAUACCAUACUACCGAGCAAAUGAAGUUAUGUGGAGGGUUCCGCACCAUUUAAAGGUUGUAAAGAAAGGUUUAAAACACAAUGACGAUAAAGAUUUGCUAUCGAAUAUAAUAUGAAAUAAUAAUACCCAAUUGCAUCAGCGGACAUGUGAUCAACAAUAUUAAAAUUCUGUAAAUUUUGAUUUAAUUCAAUUAUUGGAAUUCCAGGCAGCGUGGCAAUGUCAGAAAAUCUUGGACGAUGGUGACUAAAUGUUUGUAAAUGGAGACGGCACGUUCGCGGAAGGUAAUAGUCGAUGGUGCCAAAAAUUAAAUCAGCUCUCAACUCGUUACAAAUAGCUGCCAUGGCCUUUCAUUCUACAUUAUUUUUUCUUUUUUCACAUUCAUGGAAUCCUCUUUGCCUUCCACCCAAAUCUUGGAUUCUGGUGAAAGUGCUGAGAGGAAAAAUGAAGCUAAAAAUUACAAUGAAGUCAUGUCCACCCUUCCAAAAGUAAAAGGCUUGAAUGGGUGUGAUUAUUACCUGUACCAAUGCUUUUGGUACGAUCCCUCCUUCUUGGAAGGAAUCAUGUCUGUUCAAGAGCGCUUCAAUCCUCAAUCCACUGAUAUAUUUCUCGCCAGUUUUCCAAAAACUGGCACAACUUGGCUUAAGGCCCUCACUUUUGCUAUUUGUACACGAUCCCGUUUAAGUGGUUCAACAACUAGUUCUUUACUUUCCAAGAUGCCACAUGACUGUGUUCCUUUUAUGGAAUAUGACCUUGCUCAGAACCCAAGUAAUCGGGACUUGGCAAUUCCUCUGGUAUCUACUCAUGUUCCUUACACUUGUUUACCUAAAUCUAUCAUUUCUUCUUGUUGCAAGAUUAUUUACAUUUGCAGGGACGCAAAGGAUGUUUUUGUUUCUUUGUGGUACUUUCUUGCCAGGCUGCAAAUGUCUGAAAAUGUUGAGCCUCUUCUUCUGGAAGAGGCUUUUGAGUUGUUUUGCAAUGGAAUUGCAAAUUUUGGACCCUACUGGAACCAUGUUUUAGGGUACUGGAGAGCAAGCUUGGAGUUCCCCGAGAAGAUACUGUUCUUGACAUAUGAGGAAAUGAAGAAAGACACCGCUGCUCAUGUUAAGAAAUUAGCUGAGUUCAUGGGUUGUUCUUUCACCCUAGAGGAAGAGGAGGAAGGGGAGGUGCAAAAGAUAAUAGGCAUGUGUAGUUUUGAGAAGUUGAGCAACUUGGAGGUGAAUAAAAAUGGGAAGUGCCUUCUAGACAUAUCAAUUCCUAUUCCAAAUAGUAUAUACUUCAGGAAAGGUGAGAUAGGCGACUGGGCAAAUCACUUGACACCUGAAAUGGGAGCACGUCUAGAUGACAUAAUGGAGCGGAAGCUCAAGGGUUCAGGCUUGAAGCUGCCCAGGUGACUGCGCCUGGGUCCCAUUUGCUUCUGAUUAUUGCCGAAGUGGGUUCAUCAAAAGCUGUUAUCAACAUCUCGUGAAACAGCAACUGUGUAUCCCAAUAAAUACCCUCUCUGUUCAUCUCUUGUAUUUCCUAGCAAGUAUUCACAUUUUGUGAAUAAUCCAUGUGAAUAAGCAAUGUUCUUUUGUGAAUCUGUGUUUGUAACUUUCAUUGAUUUCCUUGCAAGUUUGUAAGAAUUAAAAAUGGGAUUCGUUUUUUAUUUAUUUAUUUAACACAAGUGCAUGCAUUCCAUUAAUCAGUGAUAAAAAAAAAAAAAUUACUCUACUAUAUAAUAUUAGAGUGUUUUCUUCACAGAAAUUGCAGUGUGUUUUCUUCCCACUGCAAUACAUGUUUUAAAAGAACCGAGACAACCAUACAUGAGGGCGGAGCAAAUACCAACCGAGACAACCAUCCAUUAAGAUUGUUGAAUUGAAGAUCAAAUGAACAUAGGCGGCACAUCUGCUGAAAGGAUCUCGAAAUGCCUUGUAAUUGGUUAAAAUAAAGAUCAAGAUCUGUAGGAGAACUCGUGUUUUCCACUCCUAAAAUAAGCCCAGUUGCCGGCUUCAUGUGCAACAGAGGCACAUAGAGAAUCUGAAAGCAGUUUUUAUGCACUAUCAGCAGAAUAAUUUGAUCAGUCAGAAUGAUCCCCCCCCCACUAGGCUCAGAUCACAAUUCUUCUUACUUCAAACAAAUCUUUUGGAACCGAUAUGUGGAGGGAUGGCUUGAUUUAUACCGGAGAUUUUGUUGGAAAAUUAAAGAAGCAUGGCUUAAUUUGUACCUUGGAUGCGCAAAUUGAUUACAGGGAAAAAAAUGACAGAAAGUGAGUUGCAGGGAAUGAAAAAGGCAUUAGUAAACUCAACAGCUUGCAGGGCAUCGUUCCUUGGUUUACUCCGUUUUAUUUCUUAUUUUGUUUUUCCUGCCAUUGUCUUAUGUUUGUCUAACUCGCAGUCUGGUCUCUGCAGAGAAUGAGAAAGCACAGACUCUUUAAGAGAAGAUAUUCUCCGGCAAUGGCAUCAAACAGAAAAGUCCGACGUUAACUAAAUGAGUUCAUGGGUCUCUUGUCUGAAUAUAGAAGUGCAGAAACUAAGCUUGACCAAAAACCCCCAUGCUACCAACUACAACUCAACAAGCAACAAAUCAAAUGAAUUGUGAUCCGCCAGUAAACAGCGAAUGGACACUGCCCCAGCAAUAGAUCAUACAAGCUCUGACCAACCGGUCAAAGAUCACGAGGACCCUACCCACUGCCCACUGACUGACAAUUCAUCAAAUAGAUUUAUUGCCGUUCACCACCUUAUUUAGAUGUAUUUUUAAAUAAUAUCCGUGAACUCAAAAAAAAAUCACUCAAAUAUCUCCCUAGAAAACUGACCUUGAACUCUUAACUAGGAGAAAAACAAAGAGGAAAAAUAGAGCUUAUAACAUAGGAAACUACGCUGAAAACUGAGGUGAAAAAAAGUGUAAGAAAUUCUGUAAAAAUGUCCAGAAACACUUUUUAUCACUUUUUACAGAGGAUUUUGAAACCUAAACCAAUGUAGAUUUACUUUUAGUAAUUAUUAAAAAUUAAUUUUUAUCAUUAUCAAUCUUAAUUAUCCGUUAUAAAUUAAAAUUAACCUUAACCCUUUUAGCUUUAAAUAUAAUGCUUUGUUAGAAUUAUAAAAACCAUUCAAAUUGAAAAAAAUUGCUUAGGCUGAAAAAAGUGUUCAGACUCUAUAUUCAUUGACAGUACAAACUGAUGGAUUAGAAAGAAAAAAAAUAUAUAGGCCAAAAAAUUAUAAAUCCAAACCCAAGUUUAAAAUAUAUUGAUAAAAAUUAAUUAUUUAUAGUUUACAAUAAAAUCAGACUUGGGACAAGCAAGCCAAUUAAGCAUGGGACUUCAACUCAAAGUUUACUUUACUUAGGUUUUUUUUUUUAAUCUGAGUGUAUUUUAAUCCAAUUUUAAUUCUUUAUAUUUUUAAUAUAUAAUUAACAAUAAAAAUGUUGUUUUUUUUACGUGAAAUAAAGGUUUUGAAUUUCACAAAGAUAUAUUCAUCAACAAAAUUAAAUUUUUAUUUAUUUAUAAUUUAUUUUAAUUAUUUUAAUAUUUUAUGUUAAAGAGAUUUGGUUGGAGAAUAAGUUUCAAUAAAAUUUAAAUCCGAAAAAUAAGUAGAUUUUAUUUUUAAUUUUAUUUCAAAUAUAUUUAUUUUUUAUGUUUUAAAACAAAUUUUAUCUCAUCUAUGUAUGUAUAAAUAUAUAAUCACAAUUCUCAAUACAGCACUUAUAGUUAGUUAUCGAACGAAAGAAUGUUAUCUCUUUCAGUAUGCCACAGAUAUUCAAAACACGGCGGUCACCCUUAUUAGCUUGCAGUCGUCUAUCGAAGUAUUAUCGCCAAAUCCACAGAAGCAAGGCAAACCACAGUUUUCUCUAGUUAUAGGACUAGACGGUACUGCGCUAGACUGCAGGUUUACAAUAUUUUUUCGAUAAAAUAUUUAAAUCAUGAGAAAAUCAUGCAUGAUUAAAAGAGUAAAAUUCAAAUUAAAAAUAUCAAUACAUGACAAAAUAAAAUUAAAAAAAAUUAAAUAAAAUUUUUAUAAAAAAACUAGAAUAAAAGAGAGGACUGAAACCGAAAAAGUUUAAACAAAAAGGACAUACCUGCAAUUUGAGGGGGGGAGGGAGGAGGAGAAAAAAAAAGGUUCAUCAACAACGAACUGCUCGACCUUCACCUACAUGUAUCGCACCAUGAGAAAGAGGAAGCAGUGAUGCUUCCAACAACACAAUAAAAUGUUUAUUUUUACAACUAGAGGUAUUGCAUGCUAUACUUGAAGUGCUAGCUUUUUAAAUUUUAAUAUUAUUUAUUUUUUUGUUAAAAGAUUACAAUGCGCAAACUAAAAAGAAAAACAAUAUAAAAAGAUAAAGUAUAACCUUGACCUAAAGCUUUUCUUUUUCUUUUUACUUCAAGGAUAUUUAAGUAAGUUUAGUGUACAUUCAAAAGCAUUUAAUGAAAUACCCUUCGACCAAGGUUUUUUUUUUUUUUAAAGUAUAAGACACUUAACAAAAUAAUAAAUAACAAAAAUUAAAAACUUAAAAAGACAAAAAAUACCCUUCGACCAAGGUUUUUUUUUUUUACUCCAAAGCAUUUAAUGAAUCUCGCCCAUAACGACAGCAAGUCUUUAAAAAGUGGAUUUCCUGAUGAAACCUGGAUAGUAUCAGUGCCAGCUCGAGCUCAGAAUGCGGCAUCUAUUGAUUAACUUACCAGUUACCAACACAAGGAGACACACACAACAACUUUAAAAAGGGCAUUAUAUAGCUAAACAUUGAUUAUUAUUUUUAUUUCAUUUUUAAUAUUAUAUUAAUUUUAAAUAUAUAUAUUUUUAAUUUCUCCAUUCAAUAACAAGUUGAAAUUCAUAAUUUUAUUUAAUUCAUUUCUUAUAAUAAUUUUUUUCCCAUCGUUUAAUUAAAUAAAAUAUUUAUUAUAAAAAAUAAAAUUAUUAAACAUAAUUGAGUAUAUGGCUUGUAUUUUUAGGUUAAAUAUUGUAAUUAGAUGUGGGUAUAAGCAUUUUAAUUUAUAAUUAAAAAGAAAAACUAUAUCCAAAAAAGAAUUUAAAAAACCUGUAUAUUUAUUUUUCAAUUAUCUAACCUGCAGCAGUGAAGUGCAAUUGAAAUAGCUAGUAAUCUAACUAAAAAAUUUAAGAUAAGAUUAAGAAAUGAGAAGUUUAUUUGUCAGCAGACAGUAGCUUCAGUAAAUAGAAAAUAUAGACUGUACUGCUGCUGAUCCCGGGAUCAAUGCCCACCUUCAUGGAUUAUAUAUAUAUAUAUAUAUAUAUAUAUAUUCAAUGUGAGAUAUUAAGUCAUUUAGUACAUACUAGUUAGAUGACUUGUGCGGUGCUGCGAGUUAAUUUUUUUUGCAUAAAAAUAUAUAAAAAAACUAAAAUCUAAAAGUAUUAGGUCUUUUUGCAAAGUUAUACCCAAGAAUCUUGGGUUUGGCUGCAACGCCUGACCCAAGAGUAAUAUUUAUAAUAUUAAUUAUAACAUUAAACUUGCAUGACUCAAGUUUAAAUGAGUCUAGAUGCAAUACCAUACCCAAUAGUCUUGGAUGUGGGUCUGGCUGCAAGGUCGUGUAAUAAAAGUGUGAUAAUUAAAUAGAUUAAUUAAAAAUAAAAAAAACAAAGAAAAAAACAAACAUGAAGAAAAAAACUAAUGAAGAAAAAGAAAAAAAAUUUGAAUUAACUGGGUUAACCCUUCAAACCAGGUUAAUCCGUCAAACCUUGGAUUCGUGUCGUGAAAGUUUGAUAACUAAAUAAAAAAAAAAUGAACAUUAACAAACUAAAUUAAAUGAAAAAAAUAAUUAAAAAAAAAAGCAUCAGCCUUUUCACUGUGGACUGCACUGUGCAGUCCACAGUCAAAUGCAUAAAAACAACAAAAAAGCAAAAAGAAAAACUAAAGGCAUCAAUCGAUAACUAAAUAGAAAAAAAAUUUAAUAUUGAUGAACUAAAUUAAAUAAAAAAAAUUAAAUAAAAAGAAGAAAAAACUUAUAAGAAGAAAAAAACUAAUGAAGAAAAAGAAAAAAAAUCUAAAUUAACUGGGUUAACCCGUCAAACCUGAGAUCCGUGUCAUGAAAGUCUGACAACUAAAUAAAAAAAAUUUAAUAUCAAUAAACUAAAUAAAAAAAUUAAUUUAAAAAAAAGGCAUCAGCCUUUUCACCGUGGAUUGCACUGUGCAGUCCAUAGUGAAAGGCAUGAAAAUAAAAAAAACAAAAAAAAACUAAAGGCAUCAGCCUUUUCACUGUGGACUGCAUAGAAUAUUAAAAGAUGAAAUCGGAAGAACAAAACUAAUGAGGAAAAAGAAAAAAAAAAUCUGAAUCAACUAGGUUAAUCCGUCAAAUCAAGUUAACCCGUCAAACUUGAAAGUGUGAUAACUAAAUAGAAAAAAGAUUUAAUAUUAAUGAAAUAAAUUAAAAAAAGAUUAAUUAAAAAGGAAAAAAGCAAAGAGAAAAAAGACCAACAGGAAGAAAAAAACCUAAUGAAGAAAAAGGAAAAAAAUCUGAAUUAAGUGGGUUAACUGGUCAAACCUGGGAUUCGUGUCAUGAAAAUCUGAUAAUUAAACAGAAAAAAUUUAAUAUUAAGAAACUAAAUUAAAAAAAGACUAAUUAAAAAAAGACAAAAAAAAACUAAAGGCAUCAGCUUUUUCACUCUUAAAAAGGAAAAGAGAGAAAAAUAAAAACAAAAGCAAACGCCACGGGUUAAUUUUUUUUUUCUUGCAUAAAAAAUAUUAAAAAAAACUAAGAUCUAAGAGUAUUAGGUCUUUCUGCAAAGAUAUGCCCAAGAGCCUUUGGUUUAGUUGCAACGCUUGACCCAAGAGUAAUAUUUAUAAUAAUAAUAAUAAUAAUAAACUUACAUGACUCAAGUUUAAGUGAGUCUGGCUGCAAGGUCGUGUCAUAAAAGUGUGAUGAUUAAAUAUAUUAAUUAAAAAGAAAAAAACCAACAUGAAGAAAAAAACUAAUGAAGAAAAAGAAAAAAAUAUGAAUUAACUGGAUUAACCCUUCAAACCAGGUUAACCCGUCAAACCUGAGAUUCAUGUUAUGAAAGUUUGAUAACUAAAUAGAAAACAAAAUUGACGGGUUAACCUGUCAAGCCUGGGAUACGUGUCAUGAAAGUCUGAUAAUUAAAUAGAAAGAAAUUUAACAUUAACAAAAUAAACUAAACGAAAAAAAAUUAAUUUAAAAGAAAAAAAGUAAAAAAAAAAUUCUAGGUUAACUCAUCAAACCAAAUUAACCCAUCAAAUCCGGGAUCCGUGUCAUGAAAGUCUGAUAACUAAAUAAAAAAAAUAACAUUAACAAACUAAAUUAAACAAAAAAAAUUCAUAAAAGAAAAAAAAACACAGAAAAAAAACAAAAAAAACAUAAAGGCAAAAAAAACAAAAACAAAAUUAAGUGAGAAUUACUGAUGUGCUUUGCCAAGCUUUGCAACAGAAAUCUCAAGACAUUUUAAAUGCUAUGCAUUUGCUGACUACCAUAAAGACUUUAAUUCAGAAGUUAAGAGAUGAUGGAUUGGAAACUCUUUUAGAACAAGUGACAUCAUUUUGUAAGCAUAAAAACAUUGAAGUUCCUGAUAUGGAUGCUUGUUUUUCUAGUGUGGGACGAUCUCGCUGUAAAACAAAAUCAAUAACAGUUGAGCAUCACUAUCGAGUUGAUAUAUUUAUAGCUAUCAUUGAUCAAUAGUUGCAAGAGCUAAAUAAUAGAUUCUAUGAGCAGGCGAUCGAGCUUCUUAAGUUGAGCAUAGCUUUAGAUCCUAAAAAUAACUAUAAAUUAUUCAGUGUUGAAGAUAUAUGCUAACUUGUUGACAAGUUCUAUCCUGAAGACUUUUCUGACCAAGAAAAAACUCAUUUGAGAUUUCAGUUGCAGCAUUAUGAGCUUGAUGUACCCAAUCAUCCAAAGUUAAAGAAUAUGUCAUCGAUUGCUGAUUUAUGUCAAGGACUGGUUGAAAUAGAAAAAUCAACAAUUUAUCUACUCAUUGAUAAGUUGAUUCGACUUAUUUUGACUCUUCCUGUUUCGACAGCAACUACUGCACGAGCUUUUUCAGCGAUGAAGAUUGUUAAAACAAGACUUCGCAAUCGGAUGGAGGAUGAUUUUCUUGCAAAUUAUUUGAUUGUCUAUAUAGAAAAAGAAAUUGCUGAAAGAUUCACAAUUGAUAUGAUAAUCGAUGAUUUCUACUCCAUGAAAGAAAGACAAAAACAAUUAAAAUAAAUAUGUAAGAAUCAUUCUUUAUUACUUUUUAUUUUAUUUAAAAGUUUUAUCAAACAUAAAUAAUGUAUCGCUUUAGCUAAUGUUUCUUAUAUAUUUUGUAUGUUUAUAUUUGAUAGGUACAAAAACCAACAAAAUUAAAGUGAUGAAUACAUUAUGAAGAUGAAAUUAACUUCAUAGCUUUGACUUAAUUUGAUAUUUGCUUUAAACAUCUUAUCUUAUACAAAAAUCAUAAUAUGUUUGUAAUUACUUUUUUGAAUAAAACUAAAUCAUGUCGUUUUUGUUUUUGUUUUUAUUUUUAUUUUUAUGUAAAGUAAAUUUUUAAAUAAAUUAUAUCUUUUAUUAUUUUAACCCCCAUUCAAAUAAUCCCAGCCCCUGACCGCAAUAACAAUCAAAAUAAAAUCUAAUUCUACCGGCUGCUAAGAAUACUAAAAUAGUGUAAAUUUUGACUUAAUUCAAUUAUUAGAAUUCGGGGCAGAUAACAGUGUUGAAGAAAAUGUCAGAAAAGUAGGGUAAACAGUACAAAUACCUUGGAUGAUGGUGACUAACGCCGUUUGUUUACGCGGGCGCGGGUGCGGUUGCCUUUUAAUUAAUAAAUAUCGGUAGUUGGAGACUUCUUGUUCUCGAAAAGAAAUAGUUAAUAGUGCCAAUAAUUAAUCUGCUCUCAACUUGCUACAAGCUGUCAUUACUCAUUACCAAAAUAUUAAAGAAACAAAUAUUUCCUAUUAGUAGAAAAGCGAUCUAAUAAAGCGAUUGUUCAGUUGACGUUAUUGAAUUGCUUUUUUAUAAAAAGUUAAUUUUUAAAUAUUUAUAGAUUAUUUUAUAUAUAAAUUUAAAAAAAAUCUUAAAAAAUUUAAAAAUAUAUUUUAAUAUAAUUAAAAAAAACAUUUGAAAAACAAUUAAUAGUAUAGUCUCAGGUCUCAACCACCCAAAAUAUACAUUUGAAAAACAUUUUAUAUACCUUGGAUUAAAUUGUGUUGUAGGUUCCACACCAUUUAAAGCUUGCAAAGAAGGAUUUAAAACACAAUCACGCUAAAGAUUUGCAAUCCAAUAUAAUAUGAAAUAAAACCCCAUUGCAUCACCGGACAUGUGAUCAAUAAUAUUAAAAUACUGUAAAUUUUGAUUUAAUUCAAUUAUUAGAGCUUGAGGCAGCGUGACAAUGUGAAAGAAAAUGUCAGAAAAUCUUGGAUGAUGGUGACCAUAUCAGUAAUUUGAGACAGCAAGUUCUCGAAAGGUAAUAGUUGAUGGUACCAAAAAUUAAACCAGCUCUCAACUCGCUACAAAUAGCUGCCAUGGCCUUUCGUUCUACAUUAUAUUUCUUUUUUUACUUUCAUGGAAUCCUCUUUGCCUUCCACCCCAAUCUUGGAUUCUGGUGAAAGUGCAGAGAGGAAAAAUGAAGCAAAAAAUUACAAUGAAGUAAUGUACACCCUUCCAAAAGUUAAAGGCUUGAGGGGGAAUGAUUAUUACCUGUACCAAGGCUUUUGGUACUCUUCCUUCUUCUUGGAAGGACUCAUGUCUGUUCAAGAGCACUUCAAUCCUCAAUCCACUGAUAUAUUUCUCACCAGUUCUCCAAAAACUGGCACAACUUGGCUUAAGGCCCUCGCUUUUGCUAUUCUUACACGAUCCCGUUUAAGUGGUUCAACAACUAGUUCUUUACUUACCAAGAUGCCACAUGACUGUGUUCCUUUUUUGGAAUAUCACCUUGCUCAAAACCCAAGUAAUCGGGACUUGGCAAUUCCCCUGCUAUCUACUCAUGUUCCUUACAGUUGUUUACCUAAAUCUAUCAUUUCUUCUAGUUGCAAGAUUAUUUACAUUUGCAGGGACGCAAAGGAUGCUUUUGUUUCUUUGUGGUGCUUUUUUCCGCGCAUCAAAUGUCGAAAAAUGUUGAACCUCUUCCUCUGGAAGAGGCCUUUGAGAUGUUUUGCAACGGAAUUUCAGUCUUGGGACCAUAUUGGGACCAUGUUUUAGGGUAUUGGAGAGCAAGAUUUGAGUUCCCUGAGAAGAUAUUGUUCUUGACAUACGAGGAAAUGAAGAUAGACACCGCUGCUCAUGUUAAGAAACUAGCUGAGUUCAUGGGUUGUUCUUUCACCUUCGAGGAAGAGGAGGAAGGGGAGGUGCAAAAGAUAAUAAGCAUGUGUAGUUUUGAGAAGUUGAGCAACUUUGAGGUGAAUAAAAAUGGGAAGCACCGUCCCGUCCGGACACAUCAAUUGCUAUUCAAAAUAGUUUAUACUUUAGGAAAGGUGAGAUAGGCGACUGGGCAAAUCACUUGACACCUGAGAUGGGAGCGCGUCUAGAUGACAUAAUGGAGCGGAAGCUCAAGGGUUCAGGCUUGAAGCUGCCCAGGUGACCGUGCCUGGGGUCCCAUUUGCAUAUGAUUAUUGCCGAAGUGGGUUCAUCAAAAGGUGUUAUCAGGAUGUCGUGAAACAGCAACUGUGUAUCCCAAUAAAUACCCUCUCUGUUCAUAGCAAGUAUUCACAUUUUGUGAAUCUUCCAUGUCAAUAAGCAAUAUUCUUUUGUGAAUCUGUGUUUGUGACUUUCAUUGAUUUCCUUGCAUGUUUGUAAGAAUUCAAAAUGGGAUUCGUUUUUUUUUUUUAUUUAACACAAGUGCAUGCAUUCCAUUCAUCAGUUUGAUAAAAAAUAAAUUUACUCUAAUAUAUAAUAUUAGAGUGUUUUCUUCACAGAAAUUGCAGUGUGUUUUUCUUCACAGCUAUACAUGUUUGAAAAGAACCGAGACAACCAUACAUGAGGGUGGAGCAAAGACCAACCGAGACAACCAUCCAUUAAGAUUGUUGAAUUGCAGAUCAAAUGAACGUAGGCGGCACAUCUACUGAAAGGAUCUCGAAAUGCCUUGUAAUUGGUUAAAAUAAAAGAUCAAGAUCUGUAGGAGAACUCGUGUUUUCCACUCCUAAAAUAAGCCCAGUUGCCGGCUUCAUUUGCAACAGAGACACAUAAAGAAUCUGAAAGCAGUUCUUAUGCACUAUCAGCAAAAUAAUUUGACCAGUCAGAAUGAUUUUUUUCCCCCUUACUAGGCUCAGAUCACAAUCCUUCUUACUUCAAACAAAUCUUUUGGAACCGAUAUGUCGAGGGAUGGCUUGAUUUAUACCGGAGAUUUUGAUGGAAACUUAAAGAAGCGUGGCUUAAUUAUACCUUGGAUGCGCAAAUUGAUUACAGGGAAAAAAUGACAGAAAGUGAGUUGCAGGGAAUGAAAAAGGCAUUUGUAAACUCAACACCUUUCAGGGCAUCGUUCCUUGGUUUACUCCCUUUUAUUUCUUAUUUUGUUUUUCCUGCCAUUGUCUAAGUUUUUCUAACUCGCAGUCUGGUCUCUGCAGAGAAUGAGACAGCAAAAACGCUUUAAGAGAAGAUAUUCUCCGGCAACGGCAUCAAACAGAAAAGUCUGACAUCAACUAAGUGCGUGUUUGACACUCCGGUUAUGUUUACAUAAAAAACAUCGUUGUCAUGUGUUUGGUUACAGUCUAAACAUAAUUUUCUGUUUGUGAGACCCGUUAUCAUUUGCUUUUAAACCGCAAGAUAACCAAAAGCAACUUCAAGCUGCCUUUUGUGUUGAGUUGCAAACUUUAUAAACAAAGGCCACAAGAAAAAGAGCAGAAACAUAGCAGUGAAUAGUAAACAGUGGAGAGUAGCUCCCUCUCACCACCGGCAUCCACCGUUUCCACCGCCAGCCACUGCUCUUCCUCUUCCCCUUCUCCUUCUCCUUUAUCUUCUGCAUUGUCCACUGUUCACGUUGCAUGUGAACAGUGGAGAGCAGCUCACCACCGGCCUCCGCUGUUUCCACCGCCAGCCACUACUCUUCCUCUUUCCCUUCCCCUUCUUCUUCUUCUUCUACAUUUUCCACUGUUCACAUGAACAGUGGAGAGCAUCUCCACUAUUCAUGGCCGGAUUGGGUCUGACCCAAACCUAAAUGCAUUGGACUGGGUCCGACCAAGUAAAAUAAAAAAAUCUAAAAACAUUUCUUAGAUAUUGUGUUUUAUUUGAAAAACUAGUGUUUAAAAUUAUUCAAUGACACUAUAUAAUUAUAUUAGAAGGAGAUCGCAUGAUGACAUAGCAUUUGCAGAAUUUGAUUGCAAUCCCAAUUUUGUUCCUAAUGAUAUUUUACCUGAUGUGAUGAUAUUUUACCUGAUGUUGGUAUACGUUCAAGAAGCCAUGAAAACUGUAGUUCUUGUCGGAUGGAUUUCGUACGUGAUUGAAUUGCAAAUAGUUUAAUAAAACAAUAAAAAAUACUUUAUAUAAAGUAUUGUUUAUUUCAUGAUUUAAUAGCAGUAGUUAAAUCUAUAAUAUUUCAAUUAAAAACCAUCAAUAUUAAUAUAUGUUUUUUUUAAUUAUUUUAUAACCUUAAUUUGAAAAAUAUUCUUUAAACCAAACACAUUAAACUACUUUUUGUUCAACCUCAAUUUCAACCACAAUUUUAACCAAAUAUAUAUUUUUUCAAACCAAUCUCAACUAAAAGUAAUUUUUAUAAAACAACUUUUUCAAACUAUAACCACAACAGCUACCACAAUACCAAAUACACAUAAAAAAAACUGUAAUGAUAAGCAAGUUAAAGUGCCACCAUUGAUUUAGGAUCUGCUUUAGAUCUUAUAAGGUGAAAGUAAAACACAAGGAAAUGCAUGCAUGCACACCACUAAUCUUUGAUUCUGGCGAGAACAGUGAUGACUACACUCAGAACCAUAUAGAAUUACAUUCCAAGAUGAAGAAAUUAAUAACAGAGCAGUGCUAUAAAGCUAAAUGUGAGAACCAAAGAUUAAUAAGCAAUGCUGAAAAUUUUAUCAUGCAUAAGAUGAGAGAAGCACAGGACAGAUUUUAUCAAAUCUAUAGUUUUUCUUCAAUAAUAAUAAUAUUUUUUAAAAAUUUAAUAAUAAUAAAAAAAAAAAACUCAUGUUCCUUGGCUCUUUCUCUUGCCAAACUGAAGCUACCAUAGUCAAAUCCAAGUAACUUAGAUGUCACGCUCUUGCUAAACCCAAGUUAUUUGGGUAUGACAUCUCAUGCUGGACUCAUAGCAUUCCAGAUCAAAGGUGUUGAUAUCUAACAAUAAUACCUCACCCGAGCCCUAAGAUGUGAUUGCUUUUCUAGACCCGAGGGCCAAGGCACCAAGACACUAUUCACUAUAAGUCAAGUCAAUGAAUCAAUCAAUCGAUUUUAAAGAUCAAGUUUUUUUUUUAAUAGAGAAACAAAACUUUUAUUAACAUUGAAAUAACUCUUAAAAUCUUAAUAAAAUUAAUUUGAAGUAAAAAUAAUAUUAAAAGAAAUAUUCAGAAGCACUUUUUGAUUGUAAAAUCAAACACACUAAAAUCAUGUAGAUUUUCAUUUAGACAUUAAAAUUCAAGAAGAAAUUAAGUUCACAGUACUAUUAAUUCAAUCGAUGAAGGAUUAGACCCAACUACUUUAGGGCCACCAUUGACAUUGAUUACUUUGAAUAAUUUUAAUUUAUAGGCAUAAAAAAUUAAUACAUAUCUUUAAGAGGAUCAAUUUUAGAUUAUCUCUCUCUCUCUCUCUCUAUUUUUUUUUUGGUUUUCAAAUAUUUGACAUUUUCGUUUAGAUAAGCUCUAGUGUGUGUUUUUUUAAGAUUAUUUUAAAUCAUGUUUCUUGAAAUGUCAAAAACAUUUCAUGGAUUAAUUUAACUUAAUAACGCCAAAGAAUUAGGAAUUAAAACUGACAAUUUCCACCAUGUAAGAGUACCUAAUUGAAAAUUUACUUUCUUAUCAUUUACCUCAAUUAAGCGGAAGCAUGAUCAUGAGAAGGGAUUUGGAGAAAGAAUUAUAAACAGAGAAUAAGAGAAAAUGUAAUGUGUAUAGAUUUUCUUAAUGAAUUAAUUAUGAUACAACAGAAGCUCAUAUAUAUAUAUAUAUACAUUCUAAACUAAUCAGUUAUGAAAUGUUAUUACAAAUAUAAUUUGAAUUUCAAUUUUAAAAUCAUGAUUAGUGCAGGUUUAUCAAUGCAGCAGAAUAUCCAUCAUAAACAAGAAGUUCACAGUUACAAAGUUUGAAUCUUUGUAACUGUAACUCUCUUUUGAAACUCUCUUCUUGGUCUUCAAUAUCCGUUAGCUAGCUGGAGAUGUAACAGUUACAAAGUUUGAAUCUUUGUAACUGUAACUCUCUUCUUGGUCUUCAAUGUCUGUCAGUUACAAAGUUUGAAUCUUUGUAACUGUAACUCUCUUAUGCUUAACAUUCCCCUGCAAACUGAUGGGGAUAGGAAUCACCAUCAAUUUGGACCGUAAAAACAUAAACCUUGCUGUAGUAUGACCUUUGGUGAAGACAUCUGCAAUCUGGUCAUAUGUUGAAAUAUAUCGUACAAGAAUAUCCUUAUUAAGAACUUUUUCACGGAUGAAGUGAUAAUCCACCUCUAUGUGCUUCGUUCGGGCAUGAAAAACAGGAUUAGAGGCAAGAGAUAUUGCACCUACAUUAUCACACCAUAGUGUAGGAGGUGACGACAAUGAAAUGCCAAGAUCUUGCAAUAACAUUCGAAGCCAAUAUAGUUCAGCAGUGACAAGAGCCAUGGAUCGAUAUUCGGCCUCAGUACUGGAUUUAGACACAACACUUUGUUUCUUUGCACUCCAGGAUAUGAGAUUUUGGCCUAGAAACACAAUAUAACCACUUGUAGAUUUUCUAUCAUCAGGAUUCCCAGCCCAAUCUGCAUCACAGAAAGCAUCUAAUGUUGUUGUCGAUUGAGUGUAGUGAAUACCAUAAUCAAUUGUUCCUUUCAAGUAACGAAGAACUCUUUUGGUAGCAAUCCAGUGUGGUUCUCGUGGAGCAUGCAUGAAUUGGCAUAAUUGGUUCACUGCAUAGCUGAUGUCAGGUCUUGUUAAAGUGCAAUAUUGAAGAGCACCAAUAACUUGAUGAUAUUCAGUUGGAUCAUUCAAUAUCCGUUAGCUAGCUGGAGAUGUAACAGUUACAAAGUUUGAAUCUUUGUAACUGUAACUCUCUUAUGCUUAACAUUUGGGAGGCACUUAGAUUAGGCUCUUCUCUAGUCUUGAGAAGCAAAACCAAUAGAGACGUGAUUGCGCACUCCCUGAGCUAUAUAGUAAGUGGCUGCAAACAAAUUGUCAGCACCAAUUCAGGUCCGGAAAAUUAAAGCAUUGAAGCAUAAAAGGUGACCUAACCUAAUUAAGCAAAUUACUACUUAUUCCAGCAUCACCUAGGAGUGAGACAGCCAGCCCAUCCAGUGUCUACAUGGUAAGGGAAUAAUUCCUUCAAGAAUGCAGAGAAAAUUAUACUUGCAAUACAACUAUAAACGAGAUGGUACAGUGCGGAAGGCAAGAUGUUAAAUCAAUUGAUCUUAUUAUAAUACUGUGAAAUAUGAUCAGGACAAAAAAAUAAAUAAAGAAAGAAAGAGUUGUUUAUUUUACAAUGAUCGAUAUGAUGCUUCUUUGCAUGUGGAAUCUUCGUCAAAGACUUGUUGAAAAUGCCAAAUUGUGAUCCACUUUUGGCUGUGUCAAAUGCAUGGGUGGGGCUUCACACAGAGCUAUUACCCCUUGUGUAAACUCAACGCCAGUUUUCAUGAGUUCUUUGGGAUUCUAACAUAGUAAAAAAAAGAAAGAUAAAAUAACAAAGUGUAAAGAAUAUUUAGUGAAAUAGAUAUUCGUGAUUAAUCAGUAGCAAUUAUUAUAUGCUGGCUCUCUCGGGUUUACUUGACAGAAGAUUUAUUAAAAAGAGUUGAUAAAGGAGAAAGAAAAGAAAAGAAAAUCUUCAAGGUAUAUCAAAACUCUGAUAAUAAUAUUAUUGGUAUUGUUAAAAAAAUCUCGACAAGACAAAUCGAAAAAUAACAAUGAAGGUCAUCAAUGACGAUAAAAAUAAGUCAUACGAGUGGCCCAAGAUAAGUGAGUUUUAAUACUUUUGAACAGCUUGUAUGAUUCAUUUUAUUCACUAUUUAUAAUCUUUUUUGAUGCUGUUAAAUUCAUCUUGUAAUGAUGUUGAUAAUGUUAUCAUUAUAAUUUCAAUGUAUUUUUAUUUUUAUUAUUAUUUUUUGUUUUGCUCUCUCUCCUCUCUCAUUGUAAUUUAUGAAGAGUAAGAGAGGGGGAAAAAAAAAACCCUAGUCUUCCAAUUUAAUCUGGCUGAAUACUACUAUCUCAAUCUUAUUCACUACUUUGUCAAAGCAAAGUAGAUUUUUCCUUAAAUAAGAUCUAAUCCACCGGCGGAUAGGUGAUCAAGAAUAUUAAAUUAGUGUAAAACUUGAUUUAAUUCAACAUUAUAAUUAGAGGUGCUAUAAUAAUGUGAAAAAAAGAAUAAAAAAACUAGAUGAUGGCGACCACAUAUCAAUAAUUCCAGACAUCACGUGGAGCACUUUCAUCAUCAUUAUUAUUAUUGGUAUAAUAAUGUUUGUUGUAUUAUUUUUUAAUUGUUAAGUUGUUUACUAUAUGUUAAAAUUUCAAGAUCUUCAAAGAUUGGGAAGAUCGGAUCUAAAGUUACUAUGGGACUGUCUUUAUUUUCCUAUUUGGAUUUUUUUAUUUAUAUUAAGAAUUUAAAUUUAAUUAGUAUUUUAUUAUUUAAAAAUUUUAAUGGUAAAUUGAUUCUAUUAGUUAGGUAAAUUUUAAAUAUAAAUUAUUUUUCUAUACAAAAUUUUAAAUCUAGAACUAAUAUAAAUAAAAAUAUUUAGUUUAUUUUUGUUCGAGGAUUCAUAUUAUUAUUUAAAUUUUUUUAUAAAUAUUUAGAGAUUUUUUCUAAUUUCCUAUGGUGUUAGGGAUUAUAACCUUAAGGUUUGGUUUGAAAUAAUGAUGACAGUUAUUUCUUAAAGUGUUUUUCACUUGAAAAUACAUUAAAAUAAUAUUUUUUUUAUUUUUUAAAUUUUUUUUUGAUAUCAGCAUAUCAAAACAAUUCAAAAACACCAAAAACUUAAUUUGAAAAAAAAUCAAAAUUUAUAAAAACCCCGGUUAAAAUGUUUUACCAAACACUUCUUAGUUUUUAAUAUUAAUACAUCAAAACAAUCCAAAAAUAUUAAUUUAAAAUUUUUAAAAACUCCGGUUGCGUUUGUAAGAUGUGUUGCGGCUCUCAACUUGCUACAAUGGCCUUUCUUUAAUAUUUUAUUUACACCAUUCAUGGAACCCUCUUUGCCUUCCACACAAAUCCCGGAUUUUGGUGAAACUGCUAAGAGGAAAAAUGAAGAGCUUUCCAAAGGCCAUGCUAAAACUACAAAGAAGUGAUCUCUACCUUUCCAGAAGUUAAAGGCUUUUGGGACGUUCCGCUCUUCUUGGGAAGACUCAUGUCAGUUCAAGAACACUACAAGCCUCAAUCCACUGAUAUAUUUGUCGCCAGCUUUCCAAAAACGAAGGAAAUCUUUGGUUAAUGUUCUCUGAAUCUCUCCUUUUCUCCUUCAAGAGUGAAAUUUAUGUGCCUUUCGUACCUUUUUACGUUAGAACAUUUCAUUUGUUCUUGUUUUCUAAAUUGAGUCUUUUCUAUGCGUUUUAUUAUUUUAUUUAUUGGGUAUUUGAGAGUGUAGUAAUAGUUAUAAUUUAAAGUGUUUUUAUUCAAAAAUAUAUUAAAAUAAUAUAUAUUUUUAAUUUUUUAAUAUUCAUCUUUUGACAACAUCACUCCAAAACAUUAGAAAACAUAAAAAAAAAAAAAACAAUUAGAAAACAAUUAGAAAACGCAAGAUUGCAUCAAUGCUAAAUGCAAUAUAUAUAUAUAGGUGCGCGCGCGCGCGUGUGUGAGAGAGAGAGAGAUCCACCUGUGUGUGAAAUGCAUAGUGAUGUUCCACAGCGAGCCAUUAUCUAUUAUGUAAAAUCUCUGAGAAAUGUCAUAGAUCAAUUGGUCGAUAUAGCAAAUUGAUAGGUUAAAGCUGCUCAUAAUCAAUACCUCUAAAAGAUUAUCUUUGGUGGAGAUGAAAACUUUUUGAUAUGUAAAUAAGUAUUUAAAAAAAAAUUAAAUAUUCUAUAAAGAGAUGUUCUGAAAAUACAAAUGCAGUAGAGAAUUGGAGAUUGUGAAUCUUUAUUAUGAAGGUCUCAUGAUAUAUUUAUAGCUCGAAUCUUGUCAUUUUGUGAAAAUAAGAGUUUGCAGUGUAAUUAACCUGAUAACAUUUAAUGAGGAAUAAAUAUCAUUUACAUGAUGGGAAUAUGGUGGGUCCUCGAAGGAGUUUUAUACACCUUAAAAGGUAUCAGAAAAUUAGAGUUUAAGAUAUCAAGUGUAGCUGAGCUUAUAGAGAUCAAGUUCUUUCUUGAGAUUAAAUCCAAGGGAGGUUUGUCAUUCCCCUGGACAUGCCAAGGAAGAAUGGUUAUUAUCUUGGACUUGGUUGGUUGCCAAAUCCAAGCAUCUUGGGCAUGACAUGCGUGCCAGAUCCACACUACCUUGAAGUUGGAGCACUACUAAGUCCAAGCGCCUCGGGUCUGACAUGCAUGCCAGACUUAUACUACGCUGGACUUGGUGCAUUACUAAGUCCAAAUGCCUUGGGUCUGAUAUGCCUGUUAGACCUAUAUUAUCUUGGGCUUGACGCAUUACUAUAUUCAAGCACCUUGAACUUAAUUAAUUGUCAAGUCCAUGCAUCUUAGAUUUAGAUCUAACAUAUACACUAGACUCAUAUUACAUUGAAUCUAGCGCAUUACAAAGUUAUAAUGCCUUGAAUUAAGUAUAUGUGCCACAUCCAUACAUUUUAAAAAACCAAACGAAAACUAAAUAAAAAGUUGACUCAUCGCUAAUCUAUAAAUACUAUCUACAUAAUGGCCUUAGUUGAUAUCUUCUACCGCUUACUACAUUUACUUGAAUAAUGAAAAUGUUUUUUUUUUUUAAUGGAAAAGAGAUUUUAACUCCAUCUUCAAUUACUAUAUAAAUGUUUCCUUGGGUUUUGAAAACGCAAUCAUGCUAAAAAUUUAUUAUCUAAUAUAAAAUAAAAUGUAUUUGUUUUUAUAUUUUAAAAAUGUUUUUUUUUUAAUUUUUUAAUUUUCAUCUUGUUUUGAUGUGUUAAUAUUAAUAAUAAAUUUUAAAAAUAAAAAAAAUAUUAUUUUAAUAUAUUUUUUAAAUUAAAAAUAUUUUAAAAAAUAACUAUUACAACAUUAACGAAUAAGAUUUAAUAUAAAAAACAUUCUAAUUGCAUCAGCUGAGAGGUGAUCAACAAUACCGCAUUCCCGAACUUCACAUCCCUAUAUUAAUGGAUUGUGUUGUGGGCUCCACGCCAUUUAAAGCUUGUAAGAGAAACCACACCUCUAAAUAGAAACCACACGAUCACGCUAAAAGAUUUGCUAUCGAAUAUAAUAUGAAAUAAAACCCAAUUGCAUCAGCGGACAUGUGAUCAAUAAUAUUAAAAUAAGGUAAUAGUUGAUGGGCCACAAAUUAAACCAGCUCUCAACUCGCUACAAAUAGCUGCCAUGGCCUUUCAUUCUACGUUAUAUUUUCAUUUUUUACAUUCAUGGAAUCCUCUUUGCCUUCCACCCAAAUCUCGGAUUCUGGUGACAGUGCAGAGAGGAAAAAUGAAGCUAAAAAUUACAAUGAAGUGAUGUCCACCUUUCCGAAAGUUAAAGGCUUGAAUGGGUAUGAUUAUUACCUGUACCAAGGCUUUUGGUACGCUCCCUUCUUCUUGGAAGGACUCUUGUCUGUUCAAGAGCGCUUCAAUCCUCAAUCCACUGAUAUAUUUGUCGCCAGUUGUCCAAAAACUGGCACAACUUGGCUUAAGGCCCUCACUUUUGCUAUUUUCACACGAUCCCGUUUAAGUGGUUCAACAACUAGUUCUUUACUUACCAAGAUGCCACAUGACUGUGUUCCUUUUUUGGAAUAUCACCUUGCUCAAAACCCCAGUAAUCGGGACUUGGCAAUUCCUCUGGUAUCUACUCAUGUUCCUUGCACUUGUUUACCUAAAUCUAUCAUUUCUUCUUGUUGCAAGAUUAUUUACAUUUCCAGGGACGCAAAGGAUGCUUUUGUUUCUUUGUGGUACUUUCUUGCCAGGCUGCAAAUGUCGAAAAAUGUUGAACCUCUUCCUCUGGAAGAGGCAUUUGAGUUGUUUUGCAAUGGAAUUGCAAAUUUUGGACCAUAUUGGGACCAUGUUUUAGGGUAUUGGAGAGCAAGCUUCGAGUUCCCUGAUAUUGUUCUUGACAUACGAGGAAAUGAAGAAAGACACCGCUGCUCAUGUUAAGAAACUAGCUGAGUUCAUGGGUUGUUCUUUCUGUUGCAUUAAACUCAAUCUAGAAGGUUAAGGAAGGCAACCACCACUUGCAGCCACUAGCUGUCACCGCCUAGCCGCCAGCCGUCUUCAUACUUGAAAGUUGAAUUAUCUUGUUUUUGAAUUCUGUGUAUAAAUAGAUAGCUAAGUGGAUGUUAUUCUGUGUGGAAAGAGAAGAAAGAAACACUAGAGAGAAAGAGAGAGGGAGUGUGUAGCUUUUGUUUAAUUAUUGUAAGCUUUUAUUGUUGAAAUAAAACAGUGUGUUUUAUCUCUUCUGAGUGUUUCAAAGCCACCACCAGUGGUUUCUCCCACCAACAAUUGGUAUCAGAGCCUCGUUCGUCACAAAACACAAGUAUUUUGGGAGAUACACGAAUUUUCAAAGUUGUCAAAAACAAUUUUUGAUCAUUCCACAAUGUAGAGCUCAUCCAUACGAACUCACUGGUGCAAAAAUCAGCUUCAUCGGAGCCCGAGGUGAUCCCCACGCGCCUCCUGAAAUUCCGGUAACUGUAGCCCAGUCUCACCCACGCGCUCCAGAGGUUGAAGACGCCAGAGGUUGAAGACGAGUGUCGUCCACGCGCGCCAUAUUCGAGCCGAUCCCCAGCCGAGCCGAUCUUUAGCCUCAGCCGAGCCGAUAGAAUAUUCCCCAGAAUAUUCCCGGUUCAACCCCAGCGAACCGCCUAACGUCCAGAAUCGGUUUUCAGACCGGUUCAGCCUAUUUCUGACCCAUUUUCAUCCAAGUCAGGCCGGUUCCCUACUGUUUUGAGCAUUCUGGAUCCAUCUACGGUGUCUGUUUUGCCAAAUUCAACUCCCAGAAGGUGAUAUAGUCAUUCAAAAAGCAAAAUGACUACAGAAAAUGCACAAACACUCAUCCCGAAGCUGACCAAAGACAACUAUGAUAGUUGGUGUAUCAGAUUGAAGGCAUUUCUUGGUUUACAAGAGUGUAUAGAGAUUGUGCAAUAUGGUUAUGAUGAACCAGAGUCUAAAGAAGUAGAAGAUACUUUAAAUGAGGCAGAAAAGCAAGUCCUCAAAGCAAAUAGAAAGAAAGACAACAAAGCAAAGACCAUAAUCUAUCAAGGUCUUGACGAAGCUAUAUUCGAAAUUAUUGCUUCCGCAGAAACAUCAAAAGAGAUAUGGGAGGCUCUCCAACAAAAAUACAAAGGUGCUGACAGAAUCAAGAAGAUUCGUCUCCAAUCUUUGCGAGGUGAGUUUGAAUUAUUGCAAAUGAAGGCCUUAGAAUCUAUUUUUGACUAUCACACAAGAAUUAUGGUGAUAGUCAAUCAGAUGAGAAGAAAUGGAGAAGCCCUCACAGAUGCUCGGAUUACAGAGAAAAUUUUGAGAUCCCUAUAUCCAAAAUUUUAUUUUGUUGUUGUCGUUAUUGAAGAGUCCAAAGAAGUGGACAAGUUGAUGGUGGAUGAGCUUAUGAGUUCUUUGCAAGCUCAUGAGCAAAAGAUCGUGAAAAGAAAUGGAGAUAAGGCAAUUGAGCAUGCCUUACAAGCAAAGUUGUCUCUCAAAGACAGAUAUGAGCAAGGGGAGACUUCAAUAAGUGGAUAUACCACUCAAGGAAGAAGUCCACAAAGACGAGGAGGAUUUCAGCAAUUCCAAGGAAGAGGAUCUUGGAAUACAGGUUUUAGAGGAAGAGGUGGCAGAUAUACCACUAGAGGAGGCCGAGGACAACAAUCAUUCACUCCUAAAGGAAGAGGAGGCGGUUACAAUAACCGUGACAAGAGGAAUAUCCAGUGUUAUAAGUGCAAUCAAUUUGGGCACUAUAGCAUUGAAUGUCAAAGGAAAGCUCCAUUAGAGGUACGUGAGCAUGCAAACUAUGCAGAGGAGGAUGCCAACAGCAGAGGAGCAGCUGCAUUAUUUGUCCAACAAGGACUUGACAAGAAUCAAGAGAAUAUUUGGUAUCUUGAUUCUGGAGCCAGCAAUCACAUGUGUGGCCAACGAGAUCUAUUUGGCGAUCUAGAUGAGACCAUACAAGGUCUAGUCACCUUUGGAGAUACAUCAAAAGUUCCAUUCAAAGGUAAAGGCAACAUCCCAAUCAAGUUGAAGAAUGGCGAUCAUAGCUACAUCGCCAAUGUCUACUAUGUCCCAGCCAUAAAGCAAAACUUGGUGAGCAUAGGUCAACUUCUAAAGAAAGGUUAUACACUUUUCAUGAAGAAUUGUCAUCUGACAGUUACAGACUACAAUGGGAGAUUAAUUGCCUAUGUGAAAAUGUCCAAGAAUAGGAUGUUUCCUUUAAACAUCCAAUAUGAUGCAGCAAAGUAUUUGAGUGCCAUCACCAACAGUGAAGAGUGGCUUUGGCACCUGAGGCUUGGACAUCUGAAUUUCACAAGUCUGAAGAUGCUAGCAAGCAAGAAGAUGGUCAAAGGUAUGCCCCACAUUGAUCAUCCAGAUGAAGUCUGUGAGAGUUGUGUCCUCAGCAAACAUCACAGAUCCAAUUUUGCCAAAGAAGUCAACUGGAAAGCAAACAAGCCACUGGAGUUAGUGCACACAGAUGUGUGUGGUCCCAUAAAGCCUAUGUCGACUGGACCAAAUAGGUACUUCCUUACUUUCAUUGAUGAUUUUAGCAGAAAGACGUGGAUAUACUUUCUGAAGAGGAAGUUAGAAGUGUUCAAUUGUUUUAAAGAUUUUAAAGCAAUUGUUGAGAAGCAAAGUGGCUAUAAGAUCAGAACCGUGAGAUCUGAUCAAGGUGGAGAAUAUACAGCAAAUGACUUUGAAGCCUUUUGUACACAACAAGGCAUCAAACAUCAGACAACACCAGCUUAUACACCACAGCUGAAUGGUGUAGCUGAAAGAAAGAAUCGAACGAUUCUUGACAUGGCGAGAAGUCUACUCAAAGCAAAGAAGCUGCCCAAACAAUACUAGGCUGAAGCUGUAUCAUGUGCAGUGUAUCUACUGAAUCGCUGCCCAACCAAAAGUUUGCAAGCUGUCACUCCACAAGAAGCAUGGAGUGGUCACAAACCAAGUGUUACUCAUCUUCGAGUCUUUGGUUGUGUGGCAUAUGCAAAGAUCCCAGAUGCAAGAAGGACCAAACUCGAUGAUAAAAGCGAGAAAUGCAUCUUUGUCGGAUAUGGUGAGAGAAAGAUGGGAUACAAGCUGUAUAAUCUCAUCACAAAGAAGGUAAUUAUGAGUAGAGAUGUUAUCUUUGAAGAAGAUAAAACAUGGCAAUGGAAGGAUGACCAAGAAGCAGUCAAAUGGAUCAGCACUGAUUUGAUCCUUGAAGAUGAAGUGGAAGUACCACCAGUACUUGCAGAAGGUCUGAUAUUACCGGCAGAUGAGCCACAAAGUUCGGUACACAGAUUCCCUGUAUUCAACAGGAGAAACACACCAGAAUCAUCAUCAGCAUCCUCAUCAGAAGGACCAAGAAGGAUGAGAAAUCUAGACGAGUUGUACGAUGUCAUGCAAGUCAUGGAAGAUACAACUCUAUUUUGUUUCUUUACAGAUACUGACCCACUUAGCUUCAAUGAAGUUAUCAAAGAAGAGAAGUGGAUAUAAGCAAUGGAUGAAGAAAUACAUGCUAUUGAGAAGAAUGACACCUGGAAGCUGACUAAUCUACUAGAAAACAAGAAAGCAAUAGGUGCCAAAUGGGUCUAUAAGACAAAGAAGAAUGCAAAAGGAGAAGUGCAAAGAUACAAAGCAAGAUUAGUAGCAAAAGGCUACAAAUAAAGAGAAGGCAUUGACUAUGGAGAAGUAUUUGCUCCAGUAGCCCGGCUAGAGACAAUCAGACUGAUGAUCUCACUAGCUGCACAACAUAGAUGGAAGAUCUAUUAACUCGAUGUGAAGUCAGCAUUUCUGAAUGGCUUCCUAGAAGAAGAGAUCUAUGUUGAACAACCACUUGGAUACAUCGAAGCUGAAAAUGACGGCAAAGUAUACAAGUUGAAGAAAGCUCUCUACGGUUUGAAGCAAGUUCCGCGUGCUUGGAAUACCAGAAUUGACAGGUAUUUUCAAGAAAAUGAAUUUGAAAAAUGUCCAUAUGAACACGCAAUAUAUGUGAAGAAAGAAGCAGAUAACAACAUAUUAUUUGUGUGCCUAUAUGUUGAUGAUUUGCUAUUCACCGGCAACAACCCAACCAUGUUUGAAGCCUUCAAGAAAAGCAUGGUACAAGAGUUUGAGAUGACAGACAUUGGUCUGAUGGCACACUUUCUUGGCUUAGAAGUGGUGCAGAAAGAAGAAGGGAUUUUUGUAUCCCAAAGCAGUUAUGCCAAAGACAUUCUUGAAAGGUUCAAGAUGGAAAGCUGCAAUCCGGUAUCAACUCCAGUUGAGAAUGGAGUAGAAUUGAGGAAGAGUAAAGUUGGAAAUGUUGAUCCAACUUACUUCAAAAGCUUAGUAGGAAGCUUAAGGUACUUGACAUGUACCAGACCGGAUAUACUCUACGGAGUUGGUCUUAUCAGCAGAUACAUGGAGACACCAGACCAGUCUCACUUGAAUGCAGCCAAGAGAAUUCUUCGCUACAUCAAAGGAACAAUCAAUGAAGGUAUGUUUUAUACCUCAAGUACAAACUUCAAUCUUGUUGGCUACUCGGAUAGUGAUUGGGGUAGAGAUCUGGAUGAAAGGAAAAGCACAACAGGGUUUGUCUUUUUCAUGGGAAAUACAUUUUUCACAUGGUCAUCCAAGAAGCAAUCGAUAGUAACGUUAUCAAGCUGUGAAGCUGAGUAUGUUGCUGCCAACUCAGCUGUAUGCCAUUUAAUAUGGUUAAGAAAUAUGCUGAAGCAUUUGGGAUUUCCUCAAGAAGAUCCCACAGAGAUUUAUAUUGAUAAUCGAUCAGCGAUUGCAUUAGCAAAGAACCCGGUGUAUCAUGAACGAAGUAAACACAUUGAUACACGUCAACACUUUAUCCGAGAGCAUAUAAAGAACAAAGAAGUCGAGCUGAUAUCCUGCAAGACAAAUGAUCAAGUUGCAGAUAUCUUUACAAAGCCAUUGAAGGGAGAAACAUUUAUCAGACUGAAGUUCAUACUUGGCGUGACAUCCCUCGAUUAAGUUUAAAGGGGGGAUUUGUUGCAUUAAACUCAAUCUAGAAGGUCAAGGAAGGCAACCACCACUUGCAACCACCAGCUGUCACCGCCCAGCCACAAACCGCCCAGCCGCCAGCCACUAGCUGUAUGCCGCCAGCCUCCAGCCGCCUUCACACUUGAAGGUUGAAUUAUCUUGUUUUUGAAUUCGUGUAUAAAUAGGUAGCUAAGUGGAUGUUAUUCUGUGUGGAAAGAGAAGAAAGAAACACUAGAGAGAAAAGAGAGGGAGUGUGUAGCUUUUGUUUAAUUAUUGUAAGCUUUUAUUGUUGAAAUAAAACAGUGUGUUUUAUCCCCUCUGAGUGUUUCAAAGCCACCACCAGUGGUUUCUCCCACCAACACUUUCACCUUAGAGGAAGAGGAGGAAGGGGAGGUGCAAAAGAUAAUAAGCAUGUGUAGUUUUGAGAAGUUGAGCAACUUGGAGGUGAAUAAAAAUGGGAAGCACCGUCCGGACACAUCAAUUGCUAUUCAAAACAGUGUAUACUUCAGGAGAGGUGAGAUAGGCGACUGGGCAAAUCACUUGACACCUGAAAUGGGAGCACGUCUAGAUGACAUAAUGGAGCAGAAACUCAAGGGUUCAGGCUUGAAGCUGCCGAGGUGAAUGUGCCUAGGGUCCCAUUUGCUUGUGAUUAUUGCCGAAGCGGGUUCAUCAAAAGCUGUUAUCAACAUCUCGUGAAACAGCAACUGUGUAUCCCAAUAAAUACCCUCUCUGUUCAUCUCUUGUAUUUCCCAGCAAGUAUUCACAUUUUGUGAAUCAUCCAUGUCAAUAAGCA
This 43579-nucleotide long non-coding RNA is filed under the name Populus trichocarpa (black cottonwood). RNAcentral's name for it is "long non-coding RNA (PTRI_LNC002684)". Lineage: Eukaryota; Viridiplantae; Streptophyta; Magnoliopsida; Malpighiales; Salicaceae. The record is from RNAcentral.